GAUGAACGCUGGCGGCGUGCCUAAUACAUGCAAGUCGAGCGAACAGAUGAGGAGCUUGCUCCUCUGACGUUAGCGGCGGACGGGUGAGUAACACGUGGAUAACCUACCUAUAAGACUGGGAUCACUUCGGGACACCGGCGCUAAUACCGUAUAAUAUAUUGCACCGCAUGGUUCAAUAGUGAAAGACGGUUUUGCUGUCACUUAUAGAUGGAUCCGCGCCGCAUUAGCUAGUUGGUAAGGUAACGGCUUACCAAGGCAACGAUGCGUAGCCGACCUGAGAGAGUGUUCGCCCACACGGGAGCGUAACCACGGUCCAGACUCCUGCGGGAGGCAGCAGUAGGGUAUCGUCCGCAAUAGGCGAAAGCCUGACGGAACAACGCCGCGUGAGAGAUGAAGGUCUUCGGAUCGUAAAACUCUGUUAUGAGGGAAGAACAAAUGUGUAAGUAACUAUGCACGUCUUGACGGUACCUAAUCAGAAAGCCACGGCUAACUACGUG
RNAcentral lists this ribosomal RNA (497 nucleotides) under uncultured bacterium. Its description in RNAcentral is "partial 16S ribosomal RNA". It matches the Rfam family "Bacterial small subunit ribosomal RNA", at positions 28 to 507 of the family's 1533-position model. The record is from RNAcentral.